AGAGUUUGAUCAUGGCUCAGGAUGAACGCUGGCGGCGUGCCUAAUACAUGCAAGUCGAGCGGUAAGGCCCCUUCGGGGGUACACGAGCGGCGGACGGCUGAGUAACACGUAGGAGCGUACCCCAAACUGAGGGAUAAGCACCAGAAAUGGUGUCUAAUACCGCAUGUGGCCUUCGGGCUAAAGCUCCGGCGGUUUGGGAACGGCCUGCGCAUGAUUAGCUGGUUGGUGAGGUAAUAGCUCACCAAGGCGAUGAUCAUUAGCUGGUCUGAGAGGAUGACCAGCCAGACUGGGACUGAGAACGGCCCAGACUCCUACGGGAGGCAGCAGUAGGGAAUUUUCCACAAUGGACGAAAGUCUGAUGGAGCAACGCCGCGUGCAGGAUGAAUGCCUUCGGGUUGUAAACUGCUUUUAUCUGUGACGAUUAUGACGGUAGCAGAUGAAUAAGGAUCGGCUGACUCCGUGCCAGCAGCCGCGGUCAUACGGAGGAUCCAAGCGUUAUCCGGAAUUACUGGGCGUAAAGAGUUGCGUAGUGGCAUGGUAAGCAAAUAGUGAAAGCGUUCGGCUCAACCGGAUACACAUUAUUUGAACUGCCAAGCUAGAGGACAAGAGAGGUCACUGGAACUCCUAGUGUAGGAGUGAAAUCCGUAGAUAUUAGGAGGAACACCGAUGGCGUAGGCAGGUGACUGGCUUGUUCUGACACUAAGGCACGAAAGCGUGGGUAGCAAACGGGAUUAGAUACCCCGGUAGUCCACGCCGUAAACGAUGGAUGCUAGCUGUUAGAGGUAUCGACCCCUCUAGUAGCGAAGCUAACGCGUUAAGCAUCCCGCCUGUGGAGUACGGUCGCAAGACUAAAACAUAAAGGAAUUGACGGGGACCCGCACAAGCGGUGGAGCGUGUUGUUUAAUUCGAUGGUAAACGAAGAACCUUACCCAGGCUUGACAUCCUUGGAAUUUCUCCGAAGGGAGAGAGUGCUUUAUUGAGCCAAGUGACAGGUGAUGCAUGGCCGUCGUCAGCUCGUGUCGUGAGAUGUUUGGUUAAGUCCAUCAACGAGCGCAACCCUUGUGAUUAGUUGAAUUUUUCUAAUCAGACUGCCCUGGUAACAGGGAGGAAGGAGGGGAUGAUGUCAGGUCAGUAUUUCCCUUACGUCUGGGGCUACAAACACGCUACAAUGGCCGGUACAAAGGGCAGCCAAGUCGCAAGACGGAGCAAAUCCCAUCAAAGCCGGUCUCAGUUUGGAUUGGAGGCUGAAACUCGCCUCCAUGAAGUCGGAAUCGCUAGUAACGGUAGGUCAGCUAUACUACCGUGAAUACGUUCCCGGGUCUUGUACACACCACCCGUCAAACCAUGAAAGUCGUGAGUACCUGACGUGUGAGCUUUGUCUCGCCCUAAGGUAAGCAAGAUGAUUGGGGUUAAGUCGUAACAAGGUAUCCGUGCGGGAACGUGCGGCUGGAUCACCACCU
RNAcentral lists this ribosomal RNA (1460 nucleotides) under uncultured bacterium. RNAcentral describes it as "bacterial SSU rRNA". It matches the Rfam family "Bacterial small subunit ribosomal RNA". The record is from RNAcentral.